AUUUAUCAUAAAAUAUAACUUAUAGUUUAUUCCAAUUAAAUUGCUUGCAUUUUAACACAGAAUAAAUGUUAUUAAUUUGAUAAAGUGCUGAUAGAUUUAUAUGAUUACAGUGCGUUAAUUUUUCGGAAUUAUAUAAUGGCAUAAUUAUCAUUGAUUUUUGUGUUUAUUAUAUGCACUUGUAUGAUUAACAAUGCGAAAGAUUCAGGAUACCUUCGGGACCCGUCUUGAAACACGGACCAAGGAGUCUAACAUAUGUGCAAGUUAUUGGGAUAUAAACCUAAUAGCGUAAUUAACUUGACUAAUAAUGGGAUUAGUUUUUUAGCUAUUUAUAGCUAAUUAACACAAUCCCGGGGCGUUCUAUAUAGUUAUGUAUAAUGUAUAUUUAUAUUAUUUAUGCCUCUAACUGGAACGUACCUUGAGCAUAUAUGCUGUGACCCGAAAGAUGGUGAACUAUACUUGAUCAGGUUGAAGUCAGGGGAAACCCUGAUGGAAGACCGAAACAGUUCUGACGUGCAAAUCGAUUGUCAGAAUUGAGUAUAGGGGCGAAAGACCAAUCGAACCAUCUAGUAGCUGGUUCCUUCCGAAGUUUCCCUCAGGAUAGCUGGUGCAUUUUAAUAUUAUAUAAAAUAAUCUUAUCUGGUAAAGCGAAUGAUUAGAGGCCUUAGGGUCGAAACGAUCUUAACCUAUUCUCAAACUUUAAAUGGGUAAGAACCUUAACUUUCUUGAUAUGAAGUUCAAGGUUAUGAUAUAAUGUGCCCAGUGGGCCACUUUUGGUAAGCAGAACUGGCGCUGUGGGAUGAACCAAACGUAAUGUUACGGUGCCCAAAUUAACAACUCAUGCAGAUACCAUGAAAGGCGUUGGUUGCUUAAAACAGCAGGACGGUGAUCAUGGAAGUCGAAAUCCGCUAAGGAGUGUGUAACAACUCACCUGCCGAAGCAACUAGCCCUUAAAAUGGAUGGCGCUUAAGUUGUAUACCUAUACAUUACCGCUAAAGUAGAUGAUUUAUAUUACUUGUGAUAUAAAUUUUGAAACUUUAGUGAGUAGGAAGGUACAAUGGUAUGCGUAGAAGUGUUUGGCGUAAGCCUGCAUGGAGCUGCCAUUGGUACAGAUCUUGGUGGUAGUAGCAAAUAAUCGAAUGAGACCUUGGAGGACUGAAGUGGAGAAGGGUUUCGUGUGAACAGUGGUUGAUCACGAGUUAGUCGGUCCUAAGUUCAAGGCGAAAGCCGAAAAUUUUCAAGUAAAACAAAAAUGCCUAACUAUAUAAACAAAGCGAAUUAUAAUACACUUGAAUAAUUUUGAACGAAAGGGAAUACGGUUCCAAUUCCGUAACCUGUUGAGUAUCCGUUUGUUAUUAAAUAUGGGCCUCGUGCUCAUCCUGGCAACAGGAACGACCAUAAAGAAGCCGUCGAGAGAUAUCGGAAGAGUUUUCUUUUCUGUUUUAUAGCCGUACUACCAUGGAAGUCUUUCGCAGAGAGAUAUGGUAGAUGGGCUAGAAGAGCAUGACAUAUACUGUUGUGUCGAUAUUUUCUCCUCGGACCUUGAAAAUUUAUGGUGGGGACACGCAAACUUCUCAACAGGCCGUACCAAUAUCCGCAGCUGGUCUCCAAGGUGAAGAGUCUCUAGUCGAUAGAAUAAUGUAGGUAAGGGAAGUCGGCAAAUUAGAUCCGUAACUUCGGGAUAAGGAUUGGCUCUGAAGAUUGAGAUAGUCGGGCUUGAUUGGGAAACAAUAACAUGGUUUAUGUGCUCGUUCUGGGUAAAUAGAGUUUCUAGCAUUUAUGUUAGUUACUUGUUCCCCGGAUAGUUUAGUUACGUAGCCAAUUGUGGAACUUUCUUGCUAAAAUUUUUAAGAAUACUAUUUGGGUUAAACCAAUUAGUUCUUAUUAAUUAUAACGAUUAUCAAUUAACAAUCAAUUCAGAACUGGCACGGACUUGGGGAAUCCGACUGUCUAAUUAAAACAAAGCAUUGUGAUGGCCCUAGCGGGUGUUGACACAAUGUGAUUUCUGCCCAGUGCUCUGAAUGUCAAAGUGAAGAAAUUCAAGUAAGCGCGGGUCAACGGCGGGAGUAACUAUGACUCUCUUAAGGUAGCCAAAUGCCUCGUCAUCUAAUUAGUGACGCGCAUGAAUGGAUUAACGAGAUUCCUACUGUCCCUAUCUACGCGUGUGACGCGCAUGAAUGGAUUAACGACGGACGUGUUUUCGUUGCGCUCGUGGACAUAGUGCGAAGAACUUUGUUUUCCGUAUUUGGAAGUAUACGAAUAAAUAAUUUAGUGUUCCGUGGAAGUGGUGCGCAAAUUUUCGCGAAUUAAAAACAAGCGGUUUGGAAGUAAUUGACAAUAAAUUAUUGGAAAUUUUCCACUCCGCACGUGUUGAGCGGCGAGCUUGCGGGUGAGCUUUUCGAACAGCUGAGAGAAGCUUAUUGGUGGUAGUCACCGCUAAGGAUUGUGUCUUGGGACAGCUUAGUGCACUCUACCAAUAGGUGGAGCUAUCACCAUAGCAACUAGCCCGUGUCAGCGAGCAUACGAUUGCUGGACUCGUCAAAAGGAGGAGCCACCAUCGGAGCAACGCCGAUGGAGAGCGACAGCAGUGUGAGUGCCUUGAGCGGAAGCAGUGCCUCAAAGGUGUCAAGACGAGGCAGGCGUAGAGGCCAUCUGGCCUCCAAGAGCUCGGCGCCAACGCAGGCGAAGCUGGUUGCCCUGGCCUCGAAUGGAGUGCCAGAACCCGUUGGUGUGCUGGAGGAGACGUUUUCAUCGCUGGAGGAUGCCCGGGCGGCUACGUCAAGCGCUGCCAACGAUGCUGCCCCCCCCGCUGCUGCCCCCGCUGUUGAUCACACUGUUGCCCCUGAUGUUUCCACUGCUGCUAAAAUCGCUGCCACCACUGCCACCACUGCCACCGCUGCCACCGCUGCCGCCCGUGCUGGGCAAGCAGCCAUGAUGGCAGAGCUGUCGGCCACCCAGCGCAUGGUGCGAAGCAGUUUCCGCAGCCUAGGAGGCGUAGACACGGAAGAGCUCUCGUGUGCCAUCAGCCGCUAUGAUGAGCUGGUGAUGGCGUUAAUGCUCCGGUGUGGAGAACUGGAGACGCGGCUCGCUAUGCCACCACCGCCGCCGCCGCCGUCCAAGGCGAACACUACUGCCGCCAAUGCUCCAGAUGCCUCAGGUUGCACCCAUCGCUGCCCCGCGGACAACCAAGGUUCGU
RNAcentral lists this ribosomal RNA (3193 nucleotides) under Drosophila melanogaster (fruit fly). Its description in RNAcentral is "eukaryotic LSU rRNA". The stretch from base 1 to 2193 matches the Rfam family "Eukaryotic large subunit ribosomal RNA", at positions 432 to 3401 of the family's 3401-position model. The record is from RNAcentral. Lineage: Eukaryota; Metazoa; Arthropoda; Insecta; Diptera; Drosophilidae.